Molecule: ribosomal RNA, 468 nt
Filed under: uncultured bacterium
Lineage: Bacteria
Description: partial 16S ribosomal RNA
Rfam family: Bacterial small subunit ribosomal RNA
Source: RNAcentral
GACGAACGCUGGCGGCGUGCUUAACACAUGCAAGUCGAACGGAAAGGCCCUGCUUUUGUGGGGUGCUCGAGUGGCGAACGGGUGAGUAACACGUGAGUAACCUGCCCUUGACUUUGGGAUAACUUCAGGAAACUGGGGCUAAUACCGGAUAGGAGCUCCUGCUGCAUGGUGGGGGUUGGAAAGUUUCGGCGGUUGGGGAUGGACUCGCGGCUUAUCAGCUUGUUGGUGGGGUAGUGGCUUACCAAGGCUUUGACGGGUAGCCGGCCUGAGAGGGUGACCGGCCACAUUGGGACUGAGAUACGGCCCAGACUCCUACGGGAGGCAGCAGGGGGGAAUAUUGCACAAUGGGCGGAAGCCUGAGGCAGCAACGCCGCGUGCGGGAUGACGGCCUUCGGGGUGUAAACCGCUUUCGCCUGUGACGAAGCGUGAGUGACGGUAAUGGGUAAAGAAGCACCGGCUAACUACGUG